AGUGAACGCUGGCGGUAGGCCUAACACAUGCAAGUCGAACGGCAGCACAGUAAGAGCUUGCUCUUACGGGUGGCGAGUGGCGGACGGGUGAGGAAUACAUCGGAAUCUACUUUUUCGUGGGGGAUAACGUAGGGAAACUUACGCUAAUACCGCAUACGACCUACGGGUGAAAGCAGGGGAUCUUCGGACCUUGCGCGAUUGAAUGAGCCGAUGUCGGAUUAGCUAGUUGGCGGGGUAAAGGCCCACCAAGGCGACGAUCCGUAGCUGGUCUGAGAGGAUGAUCAGCCACACUGGAACUGAGACACGGUCCAGACUCCUACGGGAAGCAGCAGUGGGGAAUAUUGGACAAUGGGCGCAAGCCUGAUCCAGCCAUACCGCGUGGGUGAAGAAGGCCUUCGGGUUGUAAAGCCCUUUUGUUGGGAAAGAAAAGCAGCAGGUUAAGACCCCGCUGUUCUGACGGUACCCAAAGAAUAAGCACCGGCGAACUUCGG
RNAcentral lists this ribosomal RNA (491 nucleotides) under uncultured bacterium. Its description in RNAcentral is "partial 16S ribosomal RNA". It matches the Rfam family "Bacterial small subunit ribosomal RNA", at positions 29 to 506 of the family's 1533-position model. The record is from RNAcentral.